This 892-nucleotide long non-coding RNA is filed under the name Carica papaya (papaya). Its description in RNAcentral is "long non-coding RNA (CPAP_LNC011617)". The record is from RNAcentral. Lineage: Eukaryota; Viridiplantae; Streptophyta; Magnoliopsida; Brassicales; Caricaceae.
CCUGAAUUUUUUUCUGGGAACUAAAAUGCGCUUAUGGUACCUACAAAUGUCCCAAAUAAACUCAAAAAUUAGUCUCAGGGCCUACUCGACCAAUUUUGAAAAUUAGGCAUGGCGGCUUCACCUUGCUCCAACGACGGCGUCGCCACCCGCGGUUGCGGUCCGCCUCGAGUCAGCCGUUUUCGGCAGUUUUUGGCCAAAUUCGAUCGAUUUUACAUCGAUUCCUACGAGCACACACCCUUAAGGGCCUCGGUGGGCCGAAAAAAUACGAAAAACCAAAACUCACUGGCGGUGGGGCUCUCCAGUGCGACGGCUCCUCCGGCUCACGUUGCGGUUGGGUGUUUCGUUUCAGUCAAUAUGUAGAGAAGAAAACAGUGAUCACAAUGGUGGAAAAAUUACACGAAACGGGAAUCGAGAAGGGCGUCAUCGAACGCGGUUUGUAAAAUUUCCUGCGGCGGUGCCACCAGGCUUCGACGGUAUUUUUUCAACCAAUUGGCCUGUUCUUUCACUCCAAUUUGGUCAUGGCUAGGCUUAAAAUUGAAUUUCUUGCAAAAGAGGAAACUAUUACCUUUUUUGGCUGUCGAAAAGGGUUUCAGUGCUGCGGGGGGUUACGACGGCUGGGUUAUCUUCUCCGGUGAGGGGUUAUGGCGGUUAGGAUUAGGAUUUAGGUGCGGAUUGGGUUAUUUAUACCCAUCCACUUUUGAUAUGGGUCGUCCAUCGCUUUUGAUCUGGACCAUCUGAUCGUGAUUAAAUAGGGGGUGAAUAUGGACCGUUCAUCGCGAUCCAAUCUAGGCCAUUCGUGCGCCAUUCACUAUGGGUCGUCUGUGCGCACGGGAUCAUACCUCAACCAUUCAAUUGCGCGCACGUGGAUCGCCCACGUGGCUCUUUUCGCGUC